GUGUCAGCAGCCGCGGUAAUACGGAGGGUGCGAGCGUUGUUCGGAAUUAUUGGGCGUAAAGCGCGUGCAGGCGGUUUGUUAAGUCUGAUGUGAAAGCCCCGGGCCUAACCCGGGAAGUGCAUUGGAUACUGGGAGACUUGAAUUCGGGAGAGGGCAGCGGAAUUCCUGGUGUAGGGGUGAAAUCCGUAGAUAUCAGGAAGAACACCGGUGGCGAAGGCGGCUGCCUGGACCGACAUUGACGCUGAGACGCGAAAGCGUGGGUAGCAAACAGGAUUAGAUACCCGGGUAGUCC
Molecule: ribosomal RNA, 292 nt
Filed under: uncultured bacterium
Lineage: Bacteria
Description: partial 16S ribosomal RNA
Rfam family: Bacterial small subunit ribosomal RNA
Source: RNAcentral